Molecule: ribosomal RNA, 492 nt
Filed under: uncultured bacterium
Lineage: Bacteria
Description: partial 16S ribosomal RNA
Rfam family: Bacterial small subunit ribosomal RNA
Source: RNAcentral
AGUGAACGCUGGCGGUAGGCCUAACACAUGCAAGUCGAACGGCAGCACAGUAAGAGCUUGCUCUUACGGGUUGCGAGUGGCGGACGGGUGAGGAAUACAUCGGAAUCUACUUUUUCGUGGGGGAUAACGUAGGGAAACUUACGCUAAUACCGCAUACGACCUACGGUUGAAAGCAGGGGAUCUUCGGACCUUUCGCGAUUGAAUGAGCCGAUGUCGGAUUAGCUAGUGGGCGGGGUAAAGGCCCACCAAGGCGCCGAUCCGUAGCUGGUCUGAGAGGAUGAUAAGCGACACUGGAACUGAGACACGGUCCAGAGUCCUACGGGAGGGAGCAGUGGGGAAUAUUGGACAAUGGGCGCAAGCCUGAUCCAGCCAGACCGCGUGGGUGAAGAAGGCCUUCGGGUUGUAAAGCCCUUUUGUUGGGAAAGAAAAGCAGUAGGUUAAUACCCCGCUGUUCUGACGGUACCCAAAGAAUAAGCACCGGCUAACUUCGUG